GAUGAACGCUGGCGGCGUGCUUAACACAUGCAAGUCGAACGAAGAUGCCGGAGUGCUUGCACUUUGGCAGACUGAGUGGCGGACGGGUGAGUAACGCGUGGGUAACCUGCCUUAUACAGGGGGAUAACAGUUGGAAACGACUGCUAAUACCGCAUAAGCGCACGGUAUCGCAUGAUACAGUGUGAAAAACUCCGGUGGUAUAAGAUGGACCCGCGUCUGAUUAGCUUGUUGGUGAGGUAACGGCCCACCAAGGCGACGAUCAGUAGCCGGCCUGAGAGGGUGAACGGCCACAUUGGGACUGAGACACGGGCCCAAAACUCCUACGGGAGGCAGCAGUGGGGAAUAUUGCACAAUGGGGGAAACCCUGAUGCAGCGACGCCGCGUGAGCGAUGAAGGCCUCGGUCGUAAAGCUCUGUCCUCAAGGAAGAUAAUGACGGUACUUGAGGAGGAAGCCCCGGCUAACUACGUG
This 469-nucleotide ribosomal RNA is filed under the name uncultured bacterium. RNAcentral's name for it is "bacterial SSU rRNA". It matches the Rfam family "Bacterial small subunit ribosomal RNA", at positions 28 to 507 of the family's 1533-position model. The record is from RNAcentral.